GUGAGGAAUUUUCCGCAAUGGGCGAAAGCCUGACGGAGCAAUGCCGCGUGAAGGAUGAAGGCCUAUGGGUUGUAAACUUCUUUUCUCAGAAAAGAAUUAUGACGGUAUCUGAGGAAUAAGCAUCGGCUAACUCUGUGCCAGCAGCCGCGGUAAGACAGAGGAUGCAAGCGUUAUCCGGAAUGAUUGGGCGUAAAUCGUCUGUAGGUUGUUUAAAAAGUAUUCUGUCAAAGAUUAGGGCUUAACCCUAGAUAGGCAGAAUAAACUUUUAAGCUAGAGUUUGGUAGAGGCAGAGGGAAUUCCCGGUGGAGCGGUGAAAUGCGUAGAUAUCGGGAGGAACACCAAAGGCGAAGGCACUCUGCUGGGCCAAUACUAACACUGAGAGACGAAAGCGAGGGGAGCAAAUGGGAUUAGAAACCCUGGUAGUCC
Molecule: ribosomal RNA, 426 nt
Filed under: uncultured bacterium
Lineage: Bacteria
Description: partial 16S ribosomal RNA
Rfam family: Bacterial small subunit ribosomal RNA
Source: RNAcentral